Molecule: ribosomal RNA, 495 nt
Filed under: uncultured bacterium
Lineage: Bacteria
Description: partial 16S ribosomal RNA
Rfam family: Bacterial small subunit ribosomal RNA
Source: RNAcentral
GAUGAACGCUGGCGGCGUGCCUAAUACAUGCAAGUAGAACGCUGAAGGAGGAGCUUGCUCUUCUGGAUGAGUUGCGAACGGGUGAGUAACGCGUAGGUAACCUGCCUGGUAGCGGGGGAUAACUAUUGGAAACGAUAGCUAAUACCGCAUGACAACAGUUAUUGCAUGAUAACUGUUUAAAAGGGGCAACUGCUCCACUACCAGAUGGACCUGCGUUGUAUUAGCUAGUUGGUGAGGUAACGGCUCACCAAGGCGACGAUACAUAGCCGACCUGAGAGGGUGAUCGGCCACACUGGGACUGAGACACGGCCCAGAGUCCUUCGGGAGGCAGCAGUAGGGAAUCGGCGGCAAUGGACGGAAGACUGACCGAGCAACGCCGCGUGAGUGAAGAAGGUUUUCGGAUCGGAAAGCUCUGUUGUAAGAGAAGAACGAGUGUGAGAGUGGAAAGUUCACACUGUGACGGUAUCUUACCAGAAAGGGACGGCUAACUACGUG